GAUGAACGCUGGCGGCGUGCCUAAUACAUGCAAGUCGAGCGAACAGACGAGGAGCUUGCUCCUCUGACGUUAGCGGCGGACGGGUGAGUAACACGUGGAUAACCUACCUAUAAGACUGGGAUAACUUCGGGAAACCGGAGCUAAUACCGGAUAAUAUAUUGAACCGCAUGGUUCAAUAGUGAAAGACGGUUUUGCUGUCACUUAUAGAUGGAUCCGCGCCGCAUUAGCUAGUUGGUAAGGUAACGGCUUACCAAGGCGACGAUGCGUAGCCGACCUGAGAGGGUGAUCGGCCACACUGGAACUGAGACACGGUCCAGACUCCUAAGGGAGGCAGCAGUAGGGAAUCUUCCGCAAUGGGCGAAAGCCUGACGGAGCAACGCCGCGUGAGUGAUGAAGGUCUUCGGAUCGUAAAACUCUGUUAUUAGGGAAGAACAAAUGUGUAAGUAACUAUGCACGUCUUGACGGUACCUAAUCAGAAAGCCACGGCUAACUACGU
This 496-nucleotide ribosomal RNA is filed under the name uncultured bacterium. RNAcentral's name for it is "partial 16S ribosomal RNA". It matches the Rfam family "Bacterial small subunit ribosomal RNA", at positions 28 to 506 of the family's 1533-position model. The record is from RNAcentral.